RNAcentral lists this ribosomal RNA (523 nucleotides) under uncultured bacterium. RNAcentral describes it as "bacterial SSU rRNA". It matches the Rfam family "Bacterial small subunit ribosomal RNA", at positions 772 to 1283 of the family's 1533-position model. The record is from RNAcentral.
ACUGAAUAGAUACCCGGGUAGUCCUGGCUGUAAACGGUGCACGUUUGCUGUAAGAGGAAUCGACCCCUUUUGUGGCGAAAGCUAAACGCGAUAAACGUGCCGCCUGGGGAGUACGGUCGCAAGAUUAAAACUCAAAGAAAUUGACGGGGGCCUGCACAAGCGGUGGAGUAUGUGGCUUAAAUUCGAUGCAACGCGAAGAACCUUACCUGGCCUUGACAUGCACGUAGUAGGAGCCUGAAAGGGUAACGACCCCGCAAGGGGAGCGUGCACAGGUGCUGCAUGGCUGUCGUCAGCUCGUGUCGUGAGAUGUUGGGUUAAGUCCCGCAACGAGCGCAACCCUUGUGUCCUGUUGCGACCCGGUCGAGAGACUGGAGCACUCUGGACAGACCGCCUCGCUUAAACGAGGAGGAAGGUGGGGAUGACGUCAAGUCAGGAUGGCCCUUACGGCCAGGGCUGCACACGUACUACAAUGCCCGGUACAGAGGGAAGCGAGACCGUCAGGUGGAGCAAAUCCUUUAAAACC